GGGGAAUUUUCCGCAAUGGGCGAAAGUCUGACGGAGCAAUACCGCGUGAGGGAGGAAGGCUUUUGGGUUGUAAACCUCUUUUCUUAAGGAAGAAGAUCUGACGGUACUUAAGGAAUCAGCAUCGGCUAACUCCGUGCCAGCAGCCGCGGUAAUACGGAGGAUGCAAGCGUUAUCCGGAAUUAUUGGGCGUAAAGCGUCCGCAGGUGGCCUUUCAAGUCUGCUGUCAAAGACCAGAGCUCAACUCUGGGCCGGCGGUGGAAACUGGGGGGCUAGAGUACGGUAGGGGUAGAGGGAAUUCCCAGUGUAGCGGUGAAAUGCGUAGAGAUUGGGAAGAACACCAGUGGCGAAGGCGCUCUACUGGACCGAAACUGACACUCAGGGACGAAAGCUAGGGGAGCGAAAGGGAUUAGAUACCCCUGUAGUC
RNAcentral lists this ribosomal RNA (424 nucleotides) under uncultured cyanobacterium. RNAcentral describes it as "bacterial SSU rRNA". It matches the Rfam family "Bacterial small subunit ribosomal RNA", at positions 356 to 795 of the family's 1533-position model. The record is from RNAcentral. Lineage: Bacteria; Bacillati; Cyanobacteriota.